AGCUCCAAUAGCGUAUAUUAAAGUUGUUGCAGUUAAAAAGCUCGUAGUUGGACUUCUGGCAGGGCGCCGCGUGCCACAGUAGUGUGCACAAGGGCCCGGCCAUCCUUCUGUAAACGUCGGGGAAGUUUAUUCGUCCGCGGCGGGAUCAGUUAAUUUACCUUGAGAAAAUUAGAGUGUUUCAGGCAGGCGUAGCCGGAAUACAUUAGCAUGGAAUAAUGGAAUAGGACUUAGUCUCUUUGUUGGUUCGAGGGACUGGAGUAAUGAUUAAUAGGGAUAGUUGGGGGCAUUAGUAUUUAUUAGCUAGAGGUGGAAUUCUCUAAUUUGAUAAAGACUAACUUAUGCGAAAGCAUUUGCCAAGGAUGUUUUCAUUA
RNAcentral lists this ribosomal RNA (371 nucleotides) under Oligotrichia sp. RNAcentral describes it as "SSU rRNA". It matches the Rfam family "Eukaryotic small subunit ribosomal RNA", at positions 587 to 975 of the family's 1831-position model. Lineage: Eukaryota; Ciliophora; Spirotrichea. The record is from RNAcentral.